GGCCUCGUGGCGGAAUGGCAUACGCACUAGCUUGAGGUGCUAGCCCGAAAGGGGUGGAGGUUCGAGUCCUCUCGAGGUCA
RNAcentral lists this transfer RNA (80 nucleotides) under Ktedonobacterales bacterium. RNAcentral describes it as "tRNA-Leu". It matches the Rfam family "tRNA". From Rfam's summary of the family: Transfer RNA (tRNA) molecules are approximately 80 nucleotides in length. Their secondary structure includes four short double-helical elements and three loops (D, anti-codon, and T loops). The record is from RNAcentral. Lineage: Bacteria; Bacillati; Chloroflexota; Ktedonobacteria; Ktedonobacterales.